RNAcentral lists this long non-coding RNA (1225 nucleotides) under Homo sapiens (human). Its description in RNAcentral is "long non-coding RNA NONHSAT162489.1". The record is from RNAcentral. Lineage: Eukaryota; Metazoa; Chordata; Mammalia; Primates; Hominidae.
AGUAGCAACUGACUCUGCUAACACCUUGGUCUGGAACUUCUAGUGUGUAAAAGUGUGAGACAACACAUUUCUGUUGUUUAAGACACACAAUCUGUGGUACUUUGAUACAGCAGCCCUGACAAACUAAUACAUGGGGUGUCUCAUUGUAGUUUUAAUCAGUAACACCCAUUAUGAACUGAAAACGUCUGCUACUUUUAAGGGAAAGGAUUAUUUGAGGACACCAAGAGGUGACCAUCAGCAAGCCUCCAACUUGAAUGCUUCCUGAUUAAAUAUAUACAGGAGUGAUUUCAGAGGAAUUUAAGUUUUGGAUCAUUCUUUUGAGAAAGAAAGAAAAGUACCCUUUUAAAAGAGGGUACUUUCAACAUAAAGACGACGAGGAUAAAGGCAUUUAUGAUGAACUACUUCCACAUAAUGAAUAGUUGAACAAAGGAGAGAAUUGUGAGAGUGAGAAAAAGUGAGACAAAGAAGAAAAACUAUAAAUCAGCAAAAUACAGUGCCAAGAGCUCUGGACCACAAAUCAGAAGACCUGAGCCCUAAUUCCUUUCCAGUCAUUGGAUUUGUUCGUCGCUUGCCAAAAUAGCAGCGAACUCUCUGUCAAACUGCAACUCAUUUUAUCGGAGCAAAAACUGAACAAAGAACUGCUAUCAUUUCUGAGGAUUGAAAAGUACUUUCACAGUUUGUGCAUUACCAAUUCCACCUUUGCAAAUACCACUUCCCAGAGCUGGUGAGAACACCGAAGAACAGAGGCCAGUUGGAGUCAUGGAACCGUCGAGGUGCAGAAUCAGAAUUUGAACCCCAAUAACCUGUCCACAGAGUCAGCUCUCUUAACCUCCAUGCCAUCUCUUAGCCAAUUAACAUUUCUGAAAUUUUUCAUAACUGAAAAAUGAGGAUAAUAGCACCUUCCUUAUUGUCAGAGGCAGUGCAGCUUGUGUUACAACUCAAAAGAGUAAUACUCUGAAAAAAGAAAAAAAAAGAUGGCGCUGAAAAUAAACAUGUUCAGCAGCCAUUGUGAUUCAACUUACCCAGAUGUGCUUUUCAUGAGAUGGAGAAGGACGGAUGGAAAAGAAAAGCACACAAAUGUUAAUGGAUACAGUUCAAUCCAAAGAAAACCAUGGAAUAAAACAAGAGCAUUAUUUAAGAUGUGAGAAAGCUCAGGUAUGAGAAAGACAUGGUGCCAUUUUGUAUUUCAUCAUGACACACAUACUCACUGCGUCGAAAAGCAUAG